AUACGGAGGAUGCAAGCGUUAUCCGGAUUUAUUGGGUUUAAAGGGUGCGUAGGCGGUUUGCUAAGCGGGAGGUGAAAUGCCGGCGCUCAACGUCGGAAGUGCCUCCCGAACUGGUGGACUUGAAUGACUCUGCCGUGGGAGGAAUGUGUAGUGUAGCGGUGAAAUGCUUAGAGAUUACACAGAACACCGAUUGCGAAGGCAUCUCACGAAGGGUUGAUUGACGCUGAGGCACGAAAGCGUGGGGAUCAAACAGGAUUAGAUACCCUGGUAGUCCACGCAGUAAACGAUGAUGGCUAACCGCUGGGCUUAUCAGUUCAGUGGCCAAGCGAAAGCGAUAAGCCAUCCACCUGGGGAGUACGACCGCAAGAAUGAAACUCAAAGGAAUUGACGGGG
This 393-nucleotide ribosomal RNA is filed under the name uncultured bacterium. RNAcentral's name for it is "partial 16S ribosomal RNA". It matches the Rfam family "Bacterial small subunit ribosomal RNA", at positions 523 to 918 of the family's 1533-position model. The record is from RNAcentral.